GUGGGGAAUCUUCCGCAAUGGACGAAAGUCUGACGGAGCGACGCCGCGUGAGUGAUGAAGGCCUUCGGGUCGUAAAGCUCUGUCGUCGGGGACGAACGGCCGCCUCAGGGAAUGGGGGCGGAGUGACGGUACCCGAGAAGGAAGCCACGGCUAACUACGUGCCAGCAGCCGCGGUAAUACGUAGGUGGCAAGCGUUGUCCGGAAUUAUUGGGCGUAAAGCGCGCGCAGGUGGGAUUUUAAGUCCAUUUUGAAAGUUCGGAGCUUAACUCCGUGAUGGGAUGGAAACUGGGAUUCUUGAGUACCGGAGAGGAAAGCGGAAUUCCCCGUGUAGCGGUGAAAUGCGUAGAUAUGGGGAGGAACACCAGUGGCGAAGGCGGCUUUCUGGACGGUGUCUGACACUGAGGCGCGAAAGCCAGGGGAGCGAACGGGAUUAGAAACCCGGGUAGUCC
This 449-nucleotide ribosomal RNA is filed under the name uncultured bacterium. RNAcentral's name for it is "partial 16S ribosomal RNA". It matches the Rfam family "Bacterial small subunit ribosomal RNA", at positions 354 to 796 of the family's 1533-position model. The record is from RNAcentral.